Molecule: non-coding RNA, 214 nt
Organism: Caenorhabditis elegans
Lineage: Eukaryota; Metazoa; Nematoda; Chromadorea; Rhabditida; Rhabditidae
Source: Ensembl
GCAAAUCAGCUCGGUUUCCCCUUCUUCCUGACUUCUUCUUCUUUUGAGCAUCAAGAAGAAGUGGGCCCGCGGUCCCAUUACUUAUCGCCACUGAUGCGAAUCAUCAAGAAGUCGGCAGCCGUCUGCCCCUGGGCUCUCCACACCCGCACCAUCCAUAAUCCCUCUUCUUCUACAUGACGCCGACAUAAUCCUUUUUUCUUCACACCGCAUUGGG